AGCAGUAGCCGCGGUAAUACAGAGGGUGCGAGCGUUAAUCGGAUUUACUGGGCGUAAAGCGUGCGUAGGCGGCUUUUUAAGUCGGAUGUGAAAUCCCUGAGCUUAACUUAGGAAUUGCAUUCGAUACUGGGAAGCUAGAGUAUGGGAGAGGAUGGUAGAAUUCCAGGUGUAGCGGUGAAAUGCGUAGAGAUCUGGAGGAAUACCGAUGGCGAAGGCAGCCAUCUGGCCUAAUACUGACGCUGAGGUACGAAAGCAUGGGGAGCAAACAGGAUUAGAGACCCCCGUAGUCCCUGUCUCUUAUAC
This 303-nucleotide ribosomal RNA is filed under the name uncultured bacterium. Its description in RNAcentral is "partial 16S ribosomal RNA". It matches the Rfam family "Bacterial small subunit ribosomal RNA", at positions 507 to 807 of the family's 1533-position model. The record is from RNAcentral.